CACACCGCCCGUCGCCUACUACCGAUUGAAUGGUCUAGGGGGCGCGCCACCCGACUGGCCGCCCCUUGGAGCCGCUACCGCCGCCUCGGCCGCAGCCCCCUCGGGCGGCCGGAAAGGGGUCCAAGCUGGGGUCAUUUAGAGGGAAGUAAAAGUCGUAACAAGGUUUCCGUAGGUGAACCUGCGGAAGGAUCAU
RNAcentral lists this ribosomal RNA (193 nucleotides) under Penaeus indicus. RNAcentral describes it as "partial 18S ribosomal RNA". It matches the Rfam family "Eukaryotic small subunit ribosomal RNA", at positions 1665 to 1829 of the family's 1831-position model. Lineage: Eukaryota; Metazoa; Arthropoda; Malacostraca; Decapoda; Penaeidae. The record is from RNAcentral.